ACCGACGAUUUCUAGCUUAUUUCAGAAAAAAUAUCUUGCCUAACACAAUUUAGGGCUGGUUUCCAAUCUCUCCUGAGAAGGCUGAGCCUAUCAGAGCUGUGAAGCUUAAUAAAGGCUAGGAUCAAAAAUAAACAAGCAAAAAACCGCUAACUCCCAAACCCAAACUGUUUAGCAAAAUCCAGAAUGAUAAGUUGUUUUUGUAGGUGCUUCCGAACAAAGGGGUCUUUGUGGAAGGAUUCCCAGGCAGUGUUCAGGGGAAAUCAUAGAGCAGCAUGAUGUAGACCACUUUAAGCAGACAAUCUGUGUUGCGUGGGACAAUGAGCCAUCAGGAGCAGGUUGAAUAGUUUGGUAUAAUGGUCUCCUAUUUAUAAGUUUCCUGUCUCAUUAGUGUAUUUCCUACUUAAUCUGUAGCCUCUGAAACAGGGAACUCUGUCCAGCAUGCCUGUAGUUGUGGAGAUGUCAGCACUUGGCAGCUCAUUGUAUUGUGGUAAAGUUUUAUUUUAUGUAUAACAGAAAAAUAUAGGAGACAUGAGCAAAUGCACUCCAUGCCACAGACUGUUUGGCUUUUCCAUGUGUGUUUUUUUAAGUGUCUAUUUGUAAGUAUAUUGAGGAUAGGAGACUUUGGAGAAUACACUUUCCAGGGGUGAGGCUGGGUGGUCCUACACAUUCAGGUGUACGUGGGGCUCUCCUGCAUAUUAGUUUUGUCUCAAAACAGGCAUUCCAGGGGAGUGGUCCUCCAAAAACCAUCUCUUUGUCUUUCUUCUGCUGCUCCUCCGGCCAUCUGUUCUGUUCUCAUCGCCACAAUUGUCUGCACCCAAACCCUGUCCUCCUCCAUUUAACAGCCUAGUGGCCUGUGCUGGCCGUUCUCACCUGCCUGCUCCCCGGCAGCUCCUAGCCCCGCUCUCCUCGGCGUGGCGGGGAGCAGAGCAGGAUCCGUGCCCUGCACAGCCUGGGACCUGCACAGCUUUGCAGCCUGCUCGGCUGUUCUUCACACGUCUCCCAAGUGCUAAGUGAGAAGAACACAAGAACAAAGUGCGUGAAGAGAAAUCACCUUGCGAAGCUGGCACAGUGGAUGCAAGUCUGGAAGAGCGAUGCCGUUGCUGCUGCCCGGGCUGCGUGUCUUCGCUAAAUGUGUGUUGGUGCCUCGAGGCAAAGGCAAGUGGGUGCUGUGUUUGCCUGAAGUGAGAGCUCGACAAUGAGCAAAGAGUGGGAAACUGGGACACCUGAAGCUCAAGUGACGUUCAACAGCAUGGAGAGAAUCUGUUUGUUUGGAAACAAAGCACAGAUAUCUGAGUACAAUCCAUCUCCUGACCCGCAGUGUGCACUUUUCUUCCUAAUGUAAUGAAUUUCCCAAACAAUAAGAUGUUCCCAGUUGAGGUGGAGGGAGUGUUACCUCUUGAUCGUAUCAUUCACUUCUGUCAACAAGUCACACGAGAGGCUCACUUACUAAAAAGCAAGGAAACCAGAAGUAAUCACAUGUCCCAUUUGCUUUGCUUACUGCAGAAGCUGAACUAAGGGUUUAGGGCAUGUGAGUAGGCAUUAGAAGAGCGUGCAACUUUCCCUCUGAGAACAGGCUUUCAGGAUUGCUGCAGUUGUCAUCUUCGUUCUUUCAGUUUGGCUAGAUUUUUGCCAGUUGAAGCAAUAGGAAAAUCCGAGACUGACAGUAUUUUUUAACACGACUUGAAGUCCUGUGUAAUAGGCUCCAUCAGAAAAAUAGUCACUUUUUUUUUGCCAUCACAGCUGUAAUGCAAUUUCAUGUGGUGUCCUUAAGAUUGCUACACACACUAUAAUUUCUCAUACACAGCUGUCAGCAAUAACCUUUUGUGGCAGCAGAGAGAAAAAUUCCCUGAAAUACAUAUUUGUCUAACAUGUACUUGUAGACCUUAAAUCCUGUCUAACCACAUACACCUGUGUUUCUCUGAUCUCUGGUGCAGUGGAGGAUUGUGCUUUUUGCUUGUAGGUAGAGCAGAAGCCUUGCAAGUAGGAUCUCGGAGGGGAUUUGCAGUCCAGCUUAGAUUCUGCUCGGACUUGGCACCCUCUGCAGUCCUACAUAUGCAGAGUAACAUAAAAUAAUUUCUGUUCCUAUCGUUCGGUUUUCCUUCUUUGAUUCUGAACGCAAAUAACAGUUUAACCUAAUGAGAAGUCAGAGGAAAAACCCUAAAAAGAUGGUACAAGUCAAGGACAGAUGGGGGUGGCACAACUCACAUGAAUACCAAACACCCAGCGGUGGGUAUUUCGUUUCCUGCUGCCUCUCCUACUGUCGCAGACCAAUUUAUAUUUUGCACCUCAACAGGAGAUGCCCCAUUGUGGGCAGAAACUUUUAAUGAUCCUCAGCUUCCCAUGUGCUGCUCUGGAAGCAAGCUCUCAAGAAUGAGGAAGAUUUUGCAACAUAUUAUUCCUAUAAAUAAAAAUGUAUUUCUCACCAGGAAUUCUAUCUGGUUACUCUCCCACAUUUUAACACUGUUUUUUCUUCUCUUCUGGAUAUGCUUUACUCCUUGUUCAUGUCCUUUUAUCCUUUUCAGGCAUCUCUUUGUCUUAGGAACUCCAAUAAACCGUAGUAAUGGCAGAGGGAUUUUAUUUCCUUGAAUUGUGGAAAGGUUCUUCUGAGUUUCCUUCUACUUAGGGAGCAGUAAUGAGUCAUUCCAACCUGUAAUUGAUGCUUUGUCUGACCAGGAAGGUGGACAUUAUGUGAUGGGAAGGCUCCAGGUGGCCAGCUGCUCACCGUAAUGGCCACAGCUGCACGUCAUGCAGUACCCCGGCAGUACAGAGGUUGUAGCUGUGGAAGCAUUUUUGGCUGAUCCACGUUUCAAAAAGUGCUGUCAGAGGACAGGCCCUAGCAGCAUUCAAACCCACGUUGGCAAUUUAUGCAAAAAACCUGUCGGUCUCUGACGGCGCAGCAGCAUUUGGGUUUCGGCUGGGAUCAGCAGUGAGCUUUUGGUGAGAUCUGGCUGUCUGCAGCUCUGUCUUGGCAUUCAUCUUGAGGUGGUCGUGGUGUGCGUGAGCUGGAUUCCUUUCCGAUAGCACUAAGGUAGGAGAUGCACUUGAGGUGUGCUCAUGAUGACCAACAGCUGCAAUGAUGAGUCCAAAGUCUGGAAAAAAAGAACCAACAAAACUCCAUCAUUGAAUGCGUAUAACAUUGCUGUCAGGUCCUCCUGCUGCUAACAGAUGUGCCCUUCCUGCUCCCUGGAGGAGGUGGUACCUGAGACAUGAGGUCAGCUCAGCACGGUGCGGAGUUUGCUGCGCUAACUGCAGGUAUUGCCCCGGGUCUGGAGCAUGAGCAAAAGUUCCUGCACCAUCUGGCUGAGGUCUGAGUCACUGGGCCUUAUAAAGAGGAGAGCCACAGUUAUUAACUUGAGUUUUACAUACACAAUAAAACUAGCACAAGAAUGACCUCAAAAAACUAUUUUGUGGGAAUUGUUGUGUGAAAUGAAAGGUUUUACACAGAAAUGUGACUGGCCAGGCUCUCCACACAGCAUCGAGAACAGUCCCACCAGACAUCUGACAAUGAGUUCAGAAUGGAUUUAGAAAUACAGGGUAAGGUGAAGGUGGGAAGGGAUGGAGAACUUUCUGAAACCUAUUUCACGGAGCUUGCCUGGCAUUUUUCACUUUUAAGUUCUGCAUUUGAAAUAAUGUUCAACGCAGCUGAGGAAAGACCGAGAGAAGGGUGCCCGGGGAGACUCCCCCACGAAGUUUGCCGAGCCUGACGAAGCUCAGUGCCCCGCACCCCUGGCUGCAGCAGGUCUGUCUCUGUUGAACUGGAGCUCCACACAGCUCAGAAGCAGACCCGGUGUUAUGUACGACGAUGGUGCCAGUGCCGUGGUUGGCAGCGCAGGACGGGGCCUUAGCACGUGUCUAAGCGCAUGGCCCGAGGCACACCAGGGAGGUUUUGCAAUUCUGUCCUCACUUGAUGCUCAAUGUGAUCACAGCUGUGGGGCUGUGUGGAGGAGACAGCAUACUCGCGGAGCGGUAGUGGUUCUGAAGGGAUCACGUGUCAGUCAGAUGUCUAAUUGCAUCGGUUAAAUUAUUAAAUUACAUUAAUGAUCAGAUCUCUUUGGAUUGAAGCUGACAGUUAGCUUGGCUCACAAGGAAACUGUCCCUCGAGUAGGGACGUGGCAUCACAAAGUGGUCUGUCCCUUUUUAUGGAGCACCUGUUUGGCUACCUUAGAAUCACAGAAAAACAGGUUAAUUCAGCUUGGAAGGGACCUCUGGAAGCGUUUGGUUUAAGCCCCCACUCAGAGCAAACUGAAGUGUGAUCAGGUUGCUGGAGGUAAUGCCGCAAGGCGCUAGGGGAGCGAAGCUGCCCCGUGAUUUUGGUGCAGAGGCCAGACUUGAAGCUGUGAGAAGAUGAACUUCAGUGAAGCUCUGUAGCCCGAGGUAGAUGGUGCUCAUCGUGGAUAAGAAUCUCCCAGUCUUUCUCAUCCUAUGUUAGUGGGAUUAGCUGUCUGGUGAGCCAAGUUUGCUGUAGGAGGAAGACUUCACGCUGAGAUAAGAUCAGCUACAGAGAGACUCACUUGACAGAGCUGAGUCGUGGUUCAUUUUGUGCUUUGGCUGAUAGCGUACAUGUUGCCUACACGGAGCUGCCCUGCUGAGAGGCCUUGCUGGAUUUCUGAAACUCGUACACCUUCCCGAGUCUCAGUUUUCCUCACUUGCCAGUUUAGCCCACUUUUACUCCCCAGAUCGUGGCUCCAGCACUCCCUGUAGCUGUUGUUUUUUUUUUAAUGCUUCCAUUUUAUGUAUGUAGUACUUCAGCAGCAUAUGGCUAUCAAGCACAGAGCUCUGCAGAUCGUAAGGCUCUGUAUUUUGUUAUGGUUUGUUUAGAGGGACUUCAAGGAAACAAUUUCCUGCAGGUUGCUUGUAGAAGGAGCUUGCUUUGCUUAGUUUCUUUAUAUGCAGUUUAACUUGACUUUUACCUGACGUGCAGAUGGACGUUGACAGUAUGCGGAGAUGGUCAAAAGGAGAAAUAAAACUGCUUGCAAAUGCUCUCUGCAAUGUGUUUCUGCUCUGAGAAGUAAUUACGUGAACUUGACCUGGUUGAUCUCCCUGAGACCAGGUCUGCUGCUGUCAGUGGGGUGGUUUCUGUUGGAGUGGUCUUCCUGGCUGCUCUCGGAGGGAACAAAGUCAGUUUGGGAUUUUAUCAGUACAUUUUUUAUUUUUUUAUUUUUGCAAGUUCUAAUUGCAGGAAUACCUCAGGCUCUCCUGUGCCUUCAGGACAUGGUUGACAGCACUGCACAGGUGUGACUGAGAUACUGAUAAGCAAGUGAAAUGAUAUGGAUGCAGAAGUUUCCCAAAAACAGAAAUAACAUAAUUUUGCUGGGAUGACAGAUGGAACAAAACUUCGUAAAUAUAGACGGAGAAAGCUUUGGAAGCUAUUACAGAAUGCCAGCAGCACUGCCCCCUCCUCUUCUCUGUACUCCAUGCUGACUUGUAAGUGAUCUGCAUGGGCUCUGGUAUCCCUAAAUUAAGGAAUUGAGAGCACCAUUGAGCAUAGGACUGCUGCUUUGAACAAAAGAAAGAAGCUGAAAGAAACCCUGAGGAAGGGAGUUUGUGCAGCAUCAGGACUGGAAGUGUGCGACCUCCUCAGGCUUGGUGAGUUGGCAGUCGCCGACUGGUGCUACAAGACUGAAAUUAAGAGAACAUUAAUGGCAAGGCAUAAAGAAAUCCAGGGACAUGGUGUGCGGCCAGGGGUCAGCCAGACCCAUGGGCUUGGCUGAUCAGCGCUCAGCCCGUGUUCAGUUGGCUCUGCUGAGAGCAGCUUCUGCUGAGACCAGUGCUUAAAAUACAUCCAAAUCGGUUGUACCUCAUGUUGAGAAACAGCCAAGUGGAAAGGGAGGGCGUUCUGCUAUCUGCUAGCUGAAGGGGGAGCAGAAACGACGGGCCCAGCGAGCGCCGGGCGUGGGGAAUCGGCAUGGACGGGGCUCACCAGGUGGCAGGCAGCAGAGCUCUGCGAGGAGCAAGGAGAUGAUACAAGCUGCUCUUCUGAGCCCCAGGAAAAGGUAGUGGAGGAGCUGCUCCCUCCCCCGGUAAUUGGAUGACUUUCAUUUCUGCUUGAUUUAAUUGACUUGACCUCCACAGGAGCUGGUCUUUGGGCUGUUGCCUCGUUUGCCCCUAAGAUCUCUCUGCAGCUACUGAAGGAUGCGCAAAGGAGAGGGGAAGGGUGCUGUGUGCUCCUCCAAAGGCUGGGUUGAGAUGCAGGAACCUUGAAAUAAAGUCAGAACACAACCUUCUAAUAAGAAUUCAUCUGUGAAAACAGACUUCUCCCUGCAGCUGCUCAGUGGAGCAGGUGAAACACAGAGCCGGUGAUGGCUCUGCCCUGCGUGCCUCUGAGAGGGUUCAGUCACAGAGAGCUCGAGGGCACCCUGGCUGCUGAGCUAAGAGACAAGCUCCAGCUUCAGCUAAUUUCAGAGGUGCAGCAAAUUCCUUUUCCCAGUGCUUCCAAAUGUGGGGAUUGAUGAAGAAGAGGUUCUGUGACUUCUGAGGCUGGUGUUCUCUGUUACGAGCACUGACGAGGUACUUAGCAGUUUUACACAGCUGCAUAACAUUUUGGUUUUCCCUUCUGAAACGGAAGUUGUUCCAGGUCCUUUUCUGGAAAUAGCAGCCAUGUAGUGCAGAAAAGAAAAAAUAAAUUCUGGGUAUCAGCAUGAGCAGCUGCUGAAUGUUGGAAAAUAAAAAGGAAGCCCAAAUGGGCAGAGUCUGGAGGGGUCAGGCACUGUCUGAAAAGAGCUGAUUUCCCACUGGCUUAUACUUUGGAUUUAAGAAGGUCAGUCUGGCUUGUGUCACAGCAUCAGACUGAUCAGUGCACGUUCUGAAACAGCCUUGUUCUGUGCAUGCAUUAGCCUGCAUCAGCCCAUCACCGAGUCUGUCUCCUUACAUGAAGUUUUAGAGGAGGACUGAAGAAUGCCCUUACGGCAGACAGAGAUGGGCUCAGAUCUGCUCCAACCAGCAGAGUGCCCCCUGAACUGGUUAAUUUGUACUAUAUAACUGUCUAGAAUAGGCGUGCAGAAAAUUUUUUAACUUAUUCUGAUUAUUUGGGAAUGUAAGUGAUAAAGUAGUCUUUGAUAUAGUCGUGAUUUCACUGAAUGUGAAAUAAAGUACUGCUUUUAUCCAAGGGAGUUUGUAACAUCUUUUGUGCCCCGCGCGAUGGCAGGAAGGCACUUCUCUGCUUUGCCUAGUUUAUUGCUUUCUCUCACCCAUGAAGAGAUUUUCGGUAUGAAAGUAUUGCUAAUUUACCAAUGUCGUGAAAAGAAUUCAUCCAGAAUUGCUUGUUGAAAAUGAUCAGUGUGGCCCUAAGCAGGCAGUAAAUAGUACCCUACAAUGUUGCCCAAGGGGCUGAGCUAGCUGAAUUGAAAAUUUUACGCAGUUGUUAAUGACUUUGAGGAUUGUGAUGCCAUACUCUUUUUGAAGCAUUUGAAUCUUUGGCAGUGCUGGAAAGGGAAGUAAGUCAGCCUUGUUCUGGUGGCUUAGAAUCUGCUUCUAUCUCACAGAUCGCCUAGGAGAUUAGAGGAGAGAAGCCUGCCGUGCAGUGAGCACUGCAGUAAUGGGUACUCCUUGUUAAUGCUUCAGGAACGCUUCCAUAGGGUGACGUUAUCGUCUGGGCAGAUUUUUAGAGUAUGAGAAACUUCUUGACCAUUUUUUCUGGGAGUUGCAAUUCUGCUUUGUGUAGAAGAAGACUCGGAAGCCCAUAUAAGAGAAGGAAGCUCUGUGUGCUGUUGAUCCCCAGCAGAUGAAGCUGGGAAGAUGUGGUCUGGCCAGGCUGCACGUGCAUGUACAGAGGGCUCAUUCCCCUCUUGCCUCCUGUUGGAAAACUGCAGAGCAGAGCAAGGUUGGGGGCUGCAGAGCAAGGCGGGGGGCUGCAGACCAUAAGCCAAGCCAGGGCUUGCAGUCAUCCCAAAGAUUUUCUGCAGAUUGGACUGUUACUGCCCUGUGCUGGUUAAUUUUGUGUCAUUCCUCUUCCUCCUUCCCUUGCAGGUCUUUGCACCUCAGUUUCAUUCCUCUUGAGCACGUCUUACCCUUUUCCUUGGGAGUCCCCUCCUGCCCUUCCUAUUUAUUUAUGUUGCAUUGAAUUUUCUCCGUUACCUAAAUUAUGGCAGCAUUACGCUGCUUGUUUCCACCAGCUUGUUUGUUCUGCUGGCCUAUUUUACACUUCCCCCCAGGUACAGAAGUACAGAAGCUAUGUACCUCAUUACAUAGCGCUCUCUGUUGCUCUGCUCAGUGCUUAGCACAGUGUGCCCCUGUUCUCGGCUACCUCUUAGGAUCCAAGCCUGGAAAAGUUAAAAUUUCUCAACAGCAGUCAUGCCUCAGGAUGGCUAGGUAGGAUGGAUGUAGCCCACUGCUCAGGAGCAGGCUGCAUGAACAUUUGUAAAAAUGUGAAGGACAAGGUAAGGAUCCAGAUCCUUUCCCUUUUCAUCCAGCAAAAGGACCCUCUGCUUUGGUCAGCACUGCUGGCAGAAGCUCCAUUAUAAAUGCCUUCCAAGAGAGACUGUGAAACAUCUAGAGACCACAGUAGACCGCAGUAUCUGUCGCUUCAUUUUUUUUUUUCUAAGAGUCUGGGGAACUCCUUAAGAGGUCCCCAACGCUGGAAAACUUCCAAGUACUCCUAAGAGAGUAUAAUGAGGCUUUAGCUUUGAGGAAUCGCAUUCUCAAAUGGGGGAGGCUGUUUCCAUUCUUGCCAGAGGAUUUGGCAGUCGUUGCAUCUCGAUGGGACUGUCACCCAUUUCAGUUCGACAGCACAAAGGCUUCUUUCAGACCGGUCUUUGUAAUAUAGGAUGUGCAGAUGGGUGUCUGGGCAGCACGGAAAAAGCUUUUGCUGAGGGCUAGAGGAUGAGGAGAGCAACCAAAGAAUUCGUUUUUAGUCCCGUUCUCUGCACAUUUUAAAAAUGACUGCAUUGCUAACUGGUGUUGCCUGUUGCCCGGAGAGCGCCGGGUCACCUCUAAGGCAGUAACGUCGUCUCUUCUACAUGCUAAACUUGCAGACUCUUCAGGCUGCGGCACCCGAAUUUCCCUCAGGUGUACUGAACAUUUCAGGUGAUGAUUGACCGCUCUCCCUGAUAUUUGUAUGAUUAUUAGUCUCUUCUCUGUGUGCUAUUCAGCGGACAGCACCGAUCGUAAAAAGCAGAUAGGAGCAAGUUGGGCUGCUGCCCCUGGUGAGUAGGAGAGAGGAUGGGCUGAUUGAUGACCCUUGGCUGUUUUCUGAUGUUGCAGUUGUUUUUUAUGAUGUCAUUAGGAGGCUAUAGUCACAUUAAGGAAUCCCUCAUGACAUCAUAAAGGACUUGAUAUUUCGCUAAUGUUAUUUCAGCGGAGUGAAGCUCUGGCAUUUUAUAGUCUUUGCUCUCCCCAUAGAAUUAGGAGUUGUCUAACUACAACCUGGAAGAAAUGCAAAAAUAGUCAAAUGCCGACUUCAAAAGUUAUGGUUGAAGAAUGCUAAUAUAUUUGACUCUUUCUGAGCGCACAGCACCUUUAGGUGGAAUACAUGAUGUGUUUAUAAAAGAUGCCAUCAGUGAACACAGAUCCUCAUGCAAAGGAAGAAGCAGGCGUGCCUUCCACUUUCUUUGAUGCACAAAAAAGAAACAAAUUUGCAUAUCUGUAAAGGAGGAGUGUGGAGUUUGGAGCAGUGUGCCAGCGAACAGCAGUGGGAUUUGGGUGGCUGGCGCUUUGGCAGCCUGGCUGGGUGCCAUGCAGACAGUUGAUGACACUCCUGAGCCAGCACAGCGCCUGACCAAGCUGAAGUUCCCAAAGCCAUCAAGCCUGAAACCAUCACCAAGCAUCUACUGGGCAAAAGCAAGCCAACAACAGGACCUUGUGGCUCUGUUCAGAAGUGAGUUGGCUGUAGAAGUCUGUAUCAGAAGGUUUCAUGACCUCUUUCAUGACCCUUCUAUUUUGAUGAGGCCUCUGAUAGCCAUGAAAAGUCCGGUUCAGGUACCUGCUACUCAGACAUUCCUUCAUCCUGGAGCCAGGUUUCUCCCUUCCUCCCUGUUUUAAGAAAGUGGAUGCUUUAUUCCUGUCACAGUGAGGGAAAUUUCAUGUGGUCUGCUGCCAAGAAUGCGGAGUAACUCGCAUGCGAGGAGCGCUUACAUAACGUGCCACCCUGUGACAAUACCUGUCUGCAGAGCUUGGCGAUGCCUUGGCACUUGGCAGCCGUUCGCCUUUCCGUGGGAAGUGUCCCUCCCCUUACUGCCCAGCGCAGAACAACCGGCAUUCAAAGUGGCCAAAGACCAUAAAAAAAAAAAAGUCGGUGAUUUCAAAUUGAUUCAUUUUCCCCUGCAGUCAGAAAACUUCUUGGGCUGAUUAUUGCGUUGACAAUAAAAAAGAAAAAAAAAAUGUCCAAACGCAACUUUGUAGUUUUUGUGGUGUUAAAGCAAAGGACAGAAAAAUACCCUAGCAAUAUUUGCUGAGACCCGCUGGCUGCAGGUCUGCAGCGCAUUUCAGUAAGGUGCCGUACGCCUCUGAGGGGCGGUGAUCAUCAGAUAAAAGUUAUUUUUAAAAAGGCAAGCAGAUUCUGGGAUCUGUCAGCGAUGCCAGUUGGGCAAUGGGAUCAAAUAGUUCUCAGAGGUACUAGCAAUAUUGAUUUCAGUGGGUGCUAGGGGUGGGAGCGUGGCUUCUCAUGCUGCUUUAAUGCCUAGUGCUGCCUCACACUUAGUCCUUGAAAAUGCAAUUCAAGCUCUCAUUUUUUUGUGUAAAAAAAAAAAAAAAAGUCAAAUAGUCAAAUGCCAUACCAAGUAGGAGACAUGGGAGUGUCGCUUGGAGACGUGCAGCCAUUCUUCCAUGCUGCCAAACGGCGGUAAGGCCUGAAGAGGAAUUCACCAGAGACUUUUCUCCAGCUGAUGCACGUCUGGAAGUGAACAAUAAGAAGGGUUAAACAGAAAGUUAGGAAACACGAUGUGCAAAGAGGGACUGACAAAAGCACGUUGUGUUCAGUCCAGAGAAGACAAAUAGGCUGCAGCAGAGCGGCCAUCGUAUACGUACAGCGGUGCAGCAAGGAGGAGGGAGUGUUCUGCUCUCCCAUAUGUUUCUUAUAAUGGCUUAAACUGGACUCCAGAGAGUCAGGGGAAAAAAUAGGAAAUCCUUCUGAUGGCAGAGGUAGGUCACUGUUGGAGCAGAUUGCUGGGGGGCU
This is a long non-coding RNA of Cygnus olor (mute swan), 11107 nucleotides long. RefSeq lists it as uncharacterized. NCBI's taxonomy places the organism in Eukaryota, Metazoa, Chordata, Aves, Anseriformes, Anatidae. The transcript has 8 exons. The record is from RefSeq and is a predicted model, not a curated record.